CUAAUUAUAAAACAAACAAGAACAAAUCUUUUAUUUUUGCAGGCCAAUCGCUCUUUUGACUUUGGAAUACAGUCUCUUUAUCAAUAUACUGUUUCUUUUACACAUUCAAUUCAUAACAUCUCUUUUCAAUCCCAUAAUCAAGAAUAAUUAGGAUUUCCUAAAAAAAAAAAGUAAAAGGGUCCAUUCAUAGGAAAACCUAACCUUUCCCCACAUUAGGCACUAAUCUAUUUUUAACGUCUAAUUAGAUCGGGGAAUCCUUCCAAUUAACCAAUUAAGAAGUUAAGCUCGUUGCUUUUUUUUUAUUUUACCAGAAUUAGAGCCAGGCUCUAUCCAUUUAUUCACUAGACCCAGAAAAUCAGAAUUUUUUUUAUUCAAAAAAAAAAAAGAAAUUGAUUUUAUUACGACAUGCUAUUUUUUCCAUUCAUUACCUUUGAGGAUCAGUCGUGGUCUUCUAGACUCUACCAAGAGUCUGGACGAAUUUGUUGCUUCAUCCAAAUGUGUAAAAGAUCAUAGCCUUACUUAAAAGCCGACUACUCUACCAUUGAGUUAGCAACCCGGAUAAAAUAGGAUCUCUUAGAUACGAUCAAAAUCUAAAAAUCGAUGAAAUUAUACCACAUUGAAUUAGCAAGACAUCAAAAGAAAGAUUUUCUAAUCCAUUAAAAACACUCAAAUACAAAAUGAACAGAUCCGGUUAAAUUUCACUAAGGCUAAGGGUAAAAAAAAAAAGCAGCCCCAAUCACAAUGGCAAAAUUGUGAUUUUUUUGGCAAUUUAAAGAAGUAAAAUAAUCUUGUAUGUGUAUGAGAGUACAUGCAAGAGGGGCAACCCUAUCAUUUGAAUGAAGUGUAGACAGAAAUACCUAAUAUGGAGUGACAAUAAAGAGACCCAUCUAUCUACAAAUUCUAUUUGUUCAAUAGACCUUUGUCAAUGCAAAUACAAUGUAAUUAGAUAUAAAAAGGAAAUAAAAUAGGGACUUUUGUUGGAUUGGCACGACAUAAAUGCAGCAAAAAAAAAAUAGGACUAAGAAAGAGGCAAAUUGUGUCUAAAUAAUUAAGGGGUACUAAGGACCCUCUCCUACUUUUUUAUUCAUUUAGUUCUUCAAUUAACUCAAAGUUCUUUCUUUAUCUUUAAAGAAUUCUGCCUUCCUUAAAAUAUCAUAAACUGUUCUUGUAGGUUGAGCACCCUUUUCAAGGAAAUAGAGAAUAGCUGGAACAUUUAAACAAGUUUGAUUCUUUAUCGGAUCAUAAAAACCUACUUUUCGAAGAUCUCUUCCUUCUCUUCGAGAUCGAACAUCAAUUGCAACGAUUCGAUAGAUAGCUUAUUGGGAUAGAUGUAGAUAAACAACCCCCCCCUAGAAACGUAUAGGAGGUUUUCUCCUCAUACGGCUCGAGAAAAUGAUUCGAAUUUCUGUCUAUAAUGCAAUCUGUCUAUAAUGCAAAUAGAUAGAAAUUCGAUUAUGACUUGCAUUAAUUUCCUUAAAGAAAAGAAAAAACAAAUUUCAUUUAUACUCAUGACUUCAAGUUGGCUAAUUUUUACUGACAAACUUCAAAAGAAAAACUCUUCGAAAUUUUUUGAGUCGUCUCUAAACUCUUUUCUUUAUCUCAUCUCGAACAAAUUGACUUUUAUUCCUUAUUCAGAUCUAAUUCUAUUGUUGAGCGGUUGAAAAUCGUGUUUACUUGUUCCGGAAUCCUUUAUCUUUGAUUUGUGAAAUCCUUGGGUUUAGACAUUACUUCGGGAACUCCUAUUCUUUUUUCUUUCAAAAGAGUAGCAACAUACCCUUUCUUUUUUCUUAUUUCCUUCGAUAAAGCAUUUCACUCUUCUAUAGAAAUCAAAUAUGAACAAUUGAUUCAGAUAGACUUUUCAUCAAAAAAGUUUUUCCAAUCUUCCAAAAUUAGACUUUUUCUUAUUUUAACCUUUUGAUUUCUAUAUUAAGGAUAGACUGACAAAGUUGGCCUAAUUUAUUAGUUUUCACUAACCCUAGAUUCUUUCCCUUGAUCAAAAAGAAAUUCUGUCCUCUCGAGCUCCAUCGUGUACUAUUUACUUUACUUACAAACAACCCAGCGAAAAUUCGGUUCGGGACGAAUAGAACAGACUAUGUCGAGCCAAGAGCAUUUUCAUUACUAUGGAAAAUGAUGGAUAGGCAAAUCCACAAUCGAUCAUGUCCUUCAAGUCGCACGUUGCUUUCUACCACAUCGUUUUAAACGAAGUUUUACCAUAACAUUCCUCUAAUUUCAUUGCAAAAUGGUAUCGAGAAUUGAUCCAAUAUGGAUGGAAUCAUGAAUAGUCAUUGCUUUUGUAUACUAAUUCAAACCUGCUAUCUAUGGAGAAAAUUGGAUAAAAGAAAUAAGUAUUUAUCGGGGAACACUCUGCAAAGAUACAAUUUAUUUAAACCCAUAUUCUAUCAUAUGAAUGAAACAUAGUUCGAAAAAGAGGAAUAAAAUAGUUUACUUAAGACUUAUUUAUUAUUAUUGAAUUUCCAUUUUCAACAGAGAACUCAAGAUGAUUAAUCCUGAAAUGAGAAGGAUCCACUCUUUCCCAACAAAUAAACUAUCAACCUCAAAAAAAGUGGAAUUAAUUUAAUGAAUUAAUCUAUUUUUCUGUAACAAAAACAAUUAACUAUAUAAACAAAUAAGCUAUGCCAAUGAAAAGAUUGGUCGUUUUUUGAGCUAGUCUAAAAUUCUCCUACUCUUCGACUCGAAUAACAAAAGAAAGACUCUAAAAUAAAAAAUAAGAAAAGUACGAUUUUUUCGAAUCCAUUCUAUCCAACGAACAGUUCUUACCUUAACCUUACCGAAAUGGAUCAUUCUGGAUAUUUAAAGAAUCACAGAUCGAGAUCGUUUUCGCUUAACCAAAGAAAAGAAGGACGCUUCUUUUUUACUAAUAAUACAAGAAAACAAAUAAUACAACAAAAAUCUAUCUCUAUCAUAAAGGGAUAGGUCUCAUUUUCUAUACAGUGUUUUACCUCAUUAAUUUUUUUUUUUUUUACUUACUUUAGUUCUUUAGUUUUGGGAAAAUAAAUAGGGGGUACUUCUUUUCUUUCAUAUUGGGGGUCAAAUGGAUCCUGUAAGAAUUCCCACUUCAUAGAUACGGGGUAUAAAGUUUAUCCAAAAAGUUCCAAUUUCAAAACACAUAUUCAAAACACAUAUGAGUAAUGAGUAGUAGGGGCAUAUCCUGAAUGUGCCUGAUAGACAAAAAUUUUUCAUGAAAAUAAAGAUAUUAAAUUUGACUGGACUUGACACUUUAUUUUUUGUUUUCUGAGAAAGAAAAAAAUGCUUAGAAAUGCAUCUAAUCUACGAGUUCAUAAGAGAUAAUUAUUCUCUUUAAUAAACUUUUGUGUCGUGCAGGGCACAAUACGAUUCUAUCUUUCGCUUCAUCAGAAAAAAUCUGGGACGAAAGGAUUCGAACCUCCGAGUAACGGGACCAAAACCCGCUGCCUUACCACUUGGCCACGCCCCAUGUCAUUUCGUUUUAUGAAACACUAAUAAACACUAUUAUUUUUAUAUAUUAUUCGUCAAUCCCACUUCAAUUACCUAAAAAAUGAGGGAUAUUUUCUUGCUAGGAUUCUAGACAUGCAGAUAAUAUAGAAUCCAAAAAAUGCAUUGAUCAUUACAUGGAAUUCUAUUAAGAUAUUAUAUGAAAGUCGAAUUUCUUCCAUUCUCAUUUGAGAAUGCGAAUACAAGGAGGUAUUUUGUGUUUGGGAAAGUCCGAAGAAAAAAGGAUUUGGAAUCUACCUUUUCUUUUGCUUUUUCCCUUAUAAAAAUAACUCAAUCAAAAUCCAAUUAUCUACUCUACAAGAAUGAAAUGCUUGUUAUGCCUAAUAUACUUAGUUUAACCUGUAUCUGUUUUAAUUCUGUUCUUUGUCCGACUAGCUUUUUCUUCGCCAAAUUACCCGAAGCUUAUGCCAUUUUCAACCCAAUCGUGGAUGUUAUGCCUGUCAUACCUGUACUCUUUUUUCUAUUAGCGUUUGUUUGGCAAGCUGCUGUAAGUUUUCGAUGAAAUCUUUACUAUUCUGCCUGCCAAAUUGAAUGAUGUAUUCAUUCCAAAAAAAAAAAUGGAUAAGAGCCGAGAAGUCUUAUAUUAUGAACCUUCGAUUCUAAAAUGAAAAUUCUUCUACAUUGAAUGUAUAGCUGCAGCAAUAAAUUUUGAUCAGCCUUUCUACCCCCUGCGCCUACGUUGAACAGGUACCUUUAGGUACCCACACAAUACCUAAACUAAUUUUUGAUAUUGAUAAGAGUGCUUAUUAUAAAGCAAUUCUUGCAAUUUUUUUAAGAAUUGAUUUUUGCAUUUUUAGGUGUCAAAAUAAAGAAAACCCAUCCUAGUGGAUCCGUGUGGUAAGGAAAAAUGGGUAAUCUAUUCCUUAACAAAAAAAAUUUUGGAGAUUAUGUAAUGCUUACUCUCAAACUUUUUGUUUAUACAGUAGUGAUAUUCUUUGUUUCCCUCUUUAUCUUUGGAUUCUUAUCUAAUGACCCAGGACGUAAUCCUGGGCGUGAGGAGUAAAAAUCAAAAAUUUUUUGGAAUUUUUUCUUAUAAAUUUAAAUUGGAUUUAUUUCGUACAUUUAUUUAUGUGAAAAUCCGGGGGUCAGAAUUCCUUACAAUUCGAAAGUCCCAAAUGAUCCGAGGGGGCGGAAAGAGAGGGAUUCGAACCCUCGGUACAAAAAAAUUGUACAACGGAUUAGCAAUCCGCCGCUUUAGUCCACUCAGCCAUCUCUCCCCGUUCCAAAUCGAAAGGUUUUCAUGAUAUGGCAGAGGCAAGAAAUAACGAUUGUCAAAAAUCCUUCCUUUUUCUUUCAUUUCAAAAGUGCAUAAAAAUUAUAUUGCCAAUUCCAUUUUAAUUAUAUUCUUUUUUCUUAAUGUUAAUAAAAAAAAGAAGAAAAUUCUGGUUUUUUCUUUCCAAAAUUCGAUAUAGGCUGAAAGACAAUCAGAUCUUUUUUCUCUUCAGCGGGCAGUUCCAUAUAGAAUUUGUUAGAAUAAAACAAGCGGGUUAAAAAAAAAAACUCUUUUUUUUUUAUUUAUCCACAAAGCAAAAAAGGUUCUUAUCAAACCCACAAUAAAAUGGGAAAGAAAGAUAAAGUAAGUAGACCUGACCCCUUGAAUAAUGCCUCUAUCUGCUAUUCUGAUAUAUAAAUUCGAUGUGGAUGAAAUUGGUGUAUAAGCGCAUUUUUGUAUUUCCUUAGACUUAGAUCGCGCAAGGCAAGAAUUUUUCGCUAUUUACGAUUUCAUAUUCUUGUUACUAGACGUUCUAUAGGAAUAAGAAGAAAUCGCAACUCUUUUCCGUUACACAUAAUAAAUAAAGGGUUUCAAAAGUCAAUUUUUCUUUUCAAUAUCUUUCUUUUUUUUUUCAGAAUUCCAUUUUUGUUCUUCCACCCAUGCAAUAGAGAGCGAAUGAGAAAAGAGGGGUUUUCCCUUAAAAAAUGGGCUUUGAAAUAGAAAUCAUGGAAUAAUGCUGAAUUCAAAUGUUUAUUUCUUUAUUUCUUUUCUAUAGUAUAAGAAAAAUGAAUUAAAUGAAAUUUGUGGAUUUAGCACGACCUGGGUUGUGACCCCAUAGAUAAAAAUGCAAAAUUUCUAUCUUCGAGACGACUGAAAAAGGGCAUUGAACGAGAAAGAAAUCGUCCACAGAUAAUCAAACUAUCGUAUGCCCUGGAAGUAAUAUGAGGUGCUCGAAAAUGGUUGAAGUAAUUGAAUAGGAGGAUCACUAUGACUAUAGCCGUUGGUAGAGUUACUAAAGAAGAAAACGAUCUAUUCCCCCUUAUCGACGACUGGUUACGAAGGGACCGCUUCGUUUUUGUAGGAUGGUCCGGCUUAUUGCUCUUUCCUUGUGCUUAUUUCGCUUUAGGGGGUUGGUUUACAGGGACUACUUUUGUAACUUCUUGGUAUACCCAUGGAUUGGCUAGUUCCUAUUUGGAAGGUUGCAAUUUCUUAACCGCGGCGGUUUCCACACCUGCCAAUAGUUUAGCACACUCUUUGUUGCUACUAUGGGGACCGGAAGCACAGGGAGAUUUUACUCGUUGGUCUCAAUUAGGUGGUCUUUGGACUUUUCUCGCUCUCCAUGGAGCUUUUGCACUAAUAGGUUUCAUGCUACGUCAAUUUGAACUUGCUCGGCCUGUUCAAUUGCGGCCUUAUAAUGCAAUUUCAUUCUCUGGUCCAAUCGCUGUUUUUCUUUCCGUAUUCCUUAUUUAUCCACUGGGACAAUCUGGUUGGUUCUUCUCGCCGAGUUUUGGCGUAGCAGCUAUAUUUCGCUUCAUCCUUUUCUUCCAAGGAUUUCAUAAUUGGACGUUGAAACCAUUUCAUAUGAUGGGAGUUGCCGGAGUAUUAGGCGCAGUUCUGCUAUGCGCUAUCCACGGGGCUACCGUAGAAAACACUCUAUUCGAAGAUGGCGAUGGUGCAAAUACCUUCCGUGCUUUUAACCCAACUCAAGCUGAAGAAACUUAUUCAAUGGUCACUGCUAACCGCUUUUGGUCCCAAAUCUUUGGUGUUGCUUUUUCCAAUAAACGUUGGUUACAUUUCUUUAUGCUAUUUGUACCCGUCACCGGUUUAUGGAUGAGUGCUAUUGGCGUAGUUGGUCUGGCUCUGAACCUACGUGCCUAUGACUUCGUUUCCCAGGAAAUCCGUGCAGCGGAAGAUCCUGAAUUUGAGACUUUCUACACCAAAAAUAUUCUUUUAAACGAGGGUAUUCGUGCGUGGAUGGCAGCUCAGGAUCAGCCUCAUGAAAAUCUUAUAUUCCCUGAGGAGGUUCUACCACGUGGAAACGCUCUUUAAUGGAACUUUCGUUUUAGCUGGUCGUGACCAAGAAACCACCGGCUUUCCUUGGUGGGCUGGGAAUGCCAGACUUAUCAAUUUGUCCGGUAAACUACUUGGAGCUCAUGUAGCCCAUGCCGGAUUAAUCGUAUUCUGGGCCGGAGCAAUGAACCUAUUUGAAGUGGCCCAUUUCGUACCAGAAAAGCCCAUGUAUGAACAAGGGUUGAUUUUACUUCCGCACUUAGCUACUCUAGGUUGGGGAGUAGGGUCGGGGGGAGAAGUUCUAGAUACUUUUCCUUACUUUGUAUCCGGAGUACUUCACUUAAUUUCCUCCGCAGUCUUAGGCUUCGGUGGCAUUUAUCACGCGCUUCUGGGACCCGAGACUCUUGAAGAAUCUUUUCCAUUCUUUGGUUAUGUAUGGCAAGAUAGAAAUAAAAUGACUACACUUUUGGGUAUUCACUUAAUUUUGUUAGGUCUAGGUGCUUUUCUUCUAGUACUCAAGGCUCUUUAUUUUGGCGGCGUAUAUGAUACCUGGGCCCCGGGGGGGGGGGAUGUAAGAAAAAUUACCAAUUUGACCCUUAGCCCCGGUGUUAUAUUUGGUUAUUUACUAAAAUCCCCUUUUGGGGGAGAAGGAUGGAUUGUUAGUGUGGAUGAUUUAGAAGAUAUAAUUGGGGGACAUGUAUGGUUGGGUUCCAUUUGUGUACUUGGCGGAAUUUGGCAUAUCUUAACCAAACCCUUUGCAUGGGCUCGCCGUGCAUUUGUAUGGUCUGGCGAAGCUUACUUGUCUUAUAGUUUAGGUGCUUUAUCUGUUUUUGGUUUUAUCGCUUGUUGUUUUGUCUGGUUCAAUAAUACGGCUUAUCCAAGUGAGUUUUACGGGCCCACUGGACCAGAAGCUUCUCAAGCUCAAGCAUUUACUUUUCUAGUUAGAGACCAGCGUCUUGGAGCUAAUGUAGGGUCUGCCCAAGGACCGACGGGUUUAGGUAAAUAUCUAAUGCGUUCCCCAACGGGAGAGGUUAUUUUUGGAGGGGAAACUAUGCGUUUUUGGGACCUUCGUGCUCCGUGGUUAGAACCUCUAAGGGGCCCCAACGGUUUGGACUUGAGUAGGUUGAAGAAAGACGGCCAACCUUGGCAAGAACGACGUUCAGGAGAAUAUAUGACCCAUGCUCCUUUAGGCUCUUUAAAUUCCGUGGGUGGCGUAGCUACCGAGAUCAAUGCUGUUAAUUAUGUCUCCCCUAGAAGUUGGUUAGCGACCUCCCAUUUUGUUCUAGGAUUCUUCUUUUUUGUGGGCCAUUUGUGGCAUGCAGGAAGAGCCCGAGCUGCUGCAGCAGGCUUUGAAAAGGGAAUUGAUCGCGAUUUGGAACCUGUUGUUUACAUGACCCCUCUUAACUAAGAUUUUUUAUUUAUACCUGUUCUAGUUUUUUUCUGUUCUGGCUCGGUUAUUCCAUCUAGCCGAGCCAUUCAUGCUUUUUUAUGAAAGAAUGAUAUAAGGGGGGCUGCACAAAGAAAAACAUAGAUAGAAAGAAGCAAAUGUAUUCAAUAUACAAAAGGAGAGAGAGGGAUUCGAACCCUCGAUAGUUCCUAGAACUAUACCGGUUUUCAAGACCGGAGCUAUCAACCACUCAGCCAUCUCUCCACAGCCCAAUCCCUAUUUUAUUCCUACAAAUAGAACAUAGCUAUAUGAAAUGAUCUACUAACUCAUCUCAGAUGCAAGUCCACUUUCAAUAUAUCUCUGUAUAAAGCGGUAAGGAAAAAGUUUUAAUAAAAAGAAGAAUCAAUGGAUUCAUGAUUAAACCCCUCCUACUUCUUGUAUUUUCAUACAAUUUUGAUUAAGUGAGGGAUCAAAUAGAAAUAUGUAGUCAACUUUAUUUGAAGGUAGUUUGGAGGAUUAUAAAUAUGAAUAUUGCUUUCCAAUUAGCUGUUUUUGCAUUAAUUGCGACUUCCUCAGUUUUAGUAAUUAGAGGACACCUUGUAUUUGCUUCUCCUGAUGGUUGGUCAAAUAAUAAAAACGUUGUAUUUUCCGGUACAUCAUUAUGGAUUGGAUUAGUCUUUCUGGUAGCUAUUCUGAAUUCUCUUAUUUCUUGAAUUUGUUUAGUAUUUAGUAACCCGAUACAAAAUAAAUAAAAAGAAAGGCCCUUUUUCGAAAAAAUUAGGAUUUUUAUACACAUUAAAAUGCUAUUUUCGUUCCGAAUUAUUACCUCUUCUCUUUCAUUAUUAUGAAAUUCUAUUGCCAUUAGAAUAUUGAUUGAUAGACAGUUAAUAAAAAGAAAACUCUAAUAGAAAAUGAAACGGUCGACCCAGACAUAGACGGUCGACCCAGACAUAGACGGUCGACCCAGGUGGAUAUACCCUAUAAAAUAUAGGACGUAGCAAGCGUAGUUCAAUGUAGCGAGCGUAGUUCAGUGGUAAAACAUCUCCUUGCCAAGGAGAAGAUACGGGUUCGAUUCCCGUCGCUCGCCAGCUUAAUUUAGUAAGGUGCUAUGAUAAAAAAUUCAGUCUAGUUGACUACUUAACUACUUAAUAUUAUAGUUUAUAUUUAAUAUUAUAGUUUAUAUUAUAGUAAAUUAUAUAUAUUUAUUUUUAAUAUAGUAAAUUAUUAUAGUAAAUGACUACUUAACUACUUCUAUUAAAUUACUAUUUAAUAUUAAAUGAAUAUUAAAUUAAGUAGUUGUUAGUCUAGUACUGUACCCCUUCCUAUCUUAUCCUUCCUUUGCACCCGACUCAAAAAAAAAGAGUGCUUCGAGGGUGCAAAUCCAACUUUCUAAGAAAGUUCCCUAAACCGGGGAUUCGCCGAGACAAACAAGAGACAAACGGUUUUGAAAGGGGGAUAGGCUAUGCUUUUCUUUCAUUUUUUUUUUUUUUUUUUCUGCCUGCUAAAUAAAAAAAAAGGGUUGGAUAUAGCCCUCUAUCAUAUAUAUACAAAUAGAAUAGUCCAUUUAUACGGACUGCUAAGUGCGGAGACGGGAAUCGAACCCGUGACCUCAAGGUUAUGAGCCUCGUGAGCUACCAAACUGCUCUACUCCGCUCUGUAGGGCCGAAAACUGGUGGACGAAAGAAAAAGGUGGAAUACAAGUCUCUACCAUGUCUAGACAAACAAAUGGAAUAGUCUUUUUAUACAGAAUGGAGCGGGUAGCGGGAAUCGAACCCGCAUCGUUAGCUUGGAAGGCUAGGGGUUAUAGUCGACGUUGGUUGAUUAUUUUUGACGUCUCUAAUUCAAAACCGAACAUGAAAUUUUGAUUUCAUUCGGCUCCUUUAUGGAUAUUCUCACCACUUAACAUCUAUGUCAGCUUUUCUGUCUGAAUGGAACCAAAGCUCUCCGCUUUCUAGAUGAUCCCUAUAGAAUAGGAGAUAGAAAUUCUCCUAAAUAUCUAUCUAAUCUACUUACUUCGUUCCCUAAUUUCAUUCAAGAGAUCCUGAGGAAAAGAGUUGGGUUUCCACCGAGCUGAAACAAUAUAAUAUACUGAUGGUUCUAGUAAACCAAAACCAUCGUUUUUUAGCUAUUGGGCUUCCAUUUCCUACAAAACAAAAGAAGAUUUAGUUACGAUUGGAAAUAACCUUUUUUGUAUCUUCAUCCAUAGAUCCUUUACUCAUAUUUAUUCAAUCGGAAUACUUAUCGGAAUACUUAAUCCAAUGCAAAAUUAUCGUUCGCGACUACGUACUCAUAAUCGAAUUUGUAUUUUAGAUGCAAAUUCAAUUAGUCUUUGGAUACUAAUCGGGAGAAUGUAUAUUCUUCCUCAAUAUGCUAUUGAGAGGAAAAGGAUUAAAUCCUUUAUAAGAACUAAAGUUUUCAUCGGAAUAUGAAUAUAAAAAAACUUAAGGAUGCCUUAAGUAUAUCAUUUCAAAUUCAGUUAUUAAUAGAACGAAUCACACUUUUACCACUAAACUAUACCCGCUACAUGUAGAUUAUGAUACCAAUGCUACCCUUUGUCAAGGGUAGCCAUUCGAGAAGGAGGCUAAUUCCACCUUAUCGAAUCAAAGGAGAAAGUUCAUGGCGGUGGGCGGUUGGUACUUCAAUCGCGGACCUUUACUUUAGGAUUUAGAUAGCCCCUCUCUAGUCUGUAAAAUACAUCUCUUCUUACCAUACCAAUAGCGUAUGAACCAAAUGUAUGCAUUUCGAUUAGGAUCUAUUCUACGGUUAUGACUACAAGGAUCAUUAUUUGUGAGGACGUAAAUGUGCCAGACUGUUGUAAGGAAUCGUUUAAUUAUUCCUACAAUAUAUACUAAGAGAUAUAAAGGCAGUACAGUCCCCAUAAAUCCCUUUCUUCCUUUUCUUUUUUGUUCAGAAUUGAACAAAGAAAUUGCGAAAGAUGUUUUCUUCCUCCACGUAUCAUGAAGUGCGAGCCAUAGGGAAGGAGUGAGAUGACUUUCCAAAAUUUUUCAUAGACUUCGUCUAUCGCUUGAGAGAAGCAACAAAGAGUAAUAACUUAAAAAGAAAAGCAGAUACGAAUCGCUGGUUAGUCGAUCCUCUCCAUUUCCUAAUUUCCUCUCUUCUUUUCCGCUCAAUUCUAGUUUAUUAGAUUCUUGUUUAAAAGAAUCAAAGAAGAUGAAUAGAACUAAGAACACAUAAAAAAGAGCAUAGAGAACCAUUACCAAACGUUCCUCCUAAGAAUCAUAUUGGGUAUCUAUCCCCUUCCUUUUAACCCUAGGAUCGAAAAUCUAGAAUCCUCCCUUUUCCUAGUGUUCGGAAACGGAAAACCCUGAACCUGGAGGAGUUAGGUAUGUAGGAUAUGCUUUUUAUUUUUUGUUGGACAGGCAGUAGUAUAAUUUUGAUACUCUGCAGUAUAAAUUCGACUCCCAACCCUUUUUUUUAGAAUAAAAUUGUUGAUAAAACUCCAACAUAGUUUGUUCCAAAUCCACUAUAAUCCUUGUAGAAUAGUCAAGUACCCCAUUUCCAAGGGGUACCUGUUGAAAAUCGUUUCAACAAAUCCGUCCAAAACUUUUUAAGAAAAAUGAAAAAGUUUUGAACUCGAAAGUUUUUCCAAAAGAUGCCUGCUAAAAAUUGUUUCAAUCUCUCACCAAAACAGAUAAGAAGUAUAUCACUGAAAAUUACUAUCCAGCCAUAGGGGUAUAUGAAGAGCGCAAAUUCCUUUAUACCCCACCCAAUUAGAAUUAGGGGAAAUAAAACAUAAAUGGAGAAAGUUCUCAUCAUAAGAUCAGCCAAUAGAAGAAAAAAGUCCCUAAUUCUGCAGAACAUUCUGAGCACGUGAAAAGUGAAUAGCCUAAAGAUAAAAAAAAAGUUUAUCAUUUUUUUAACAGCAGUUCUUAUUGCCCCUUUGGCCUUUUUGGCCCAUUGUUGGUAUUCCGAUUCAACAAUUGAUACCAUAUUUGUUCUCUUCUUAACAAAAAAAAUGGAACUUCCGGACUUUGGUUUGGUGAGUCGUACGAGAUCGUGUUUACAUACCUAUGAACUUAGCCUCUUCAAGUGUAUCCGAUAUAUAUAAUAAUUUUUGGGUGUGUCAAUUCUCUGUUCAUGUAUUUUAUUAUACAUGAUAUGUAUAUGUAUUUAUUUAUAUAAUAAUAAAUACCUAUACUUUGUGCAAGUGAUAAGAGAUAAUAUGAAAGAUUUUCUUAUUUUUCUUAAUUUUCUCAAGAUUUUAAACCUCGCCAUAAAUAAACUUCGAUAUCUCGAUCUCGAUAUAUAGAAAAGAAAAUCUCUACAUAUCUCUAUAUAUACAUAUAUUAUGUACAUUAAUAUAUACAUGUAAUAUGUACAUUAUGCAGUAGACCCAUAAUGGUAAAUGAAAGUGGCUAAUUAUUGAAUAAAAAGCCCUUUUAACUCAGUGGUAGAGUAAUGCCAUGGUAAGGCAUAAGUCAUCGGUUCAAAUCCGAUAAAGGGCUUUUCGCUUAGUGGUAGAAUAAUGCCUUGGUAAGACAGAAGUCAUCGGUUCGAAUCCGAUAAAGUACUUUUCUACUAAAUUCAUUCAUUUCUUUUUUGAAAAUGUCCCCAUUUUUUUUUUUUUUUGCAAUUUUAUGACUUAGUUUAGUGCGAGAUGCCCACAUUUUUGGUCUGAACACUAAACGAGCACAGACUUAAAAUUACAAAAAAAAAUGAAAUUGGACUCUUUUUCCUGUUAUAGCAAUCAAUACCUGUACUGAACUAAUUUAGAUUCCUUUUUAUUAGUCUAUUCGUAUUCUAUACCCUUUAAACGAAUUUCCUUAACCUUAAAAAGCUUAAAAAGUAGGGGAUGAUCCGUGAAUUAACCUAACCAUCAACUAAAAAAAAUCCUAUGAAAGCAUAACAGAAAAGUAGUAAAGACUCUUUUCUUGAUCUAGUUCGAAGAGUAUAUGACAAUUCCAAAAAACUGCUCAUACUAUCAUUAUAGUAUAAAGACCGAGUGGUUGUAUAUGGUGCUAUCGUCUAGUGAUGCCCCCAUCGUCUAGUGGUUCAGGACAUCUCUCUUUCAAGGAGGCAGCGGGUAUUCGACUUCCCCUGGGGGUAGGGAGUAUUAUAAAAAGAGGUUAAUCAUAGAUUAUCAAAAAGCCUAGAAAAAAUUCUUCCUGGGUCGAUGCCCGAGCGGUUAAUGGGGACGGACUGUAAAUUCGUUGACGAUAUGUCUACGCUGGUUCAAAUCCAGCUCGGCCCAAAAAUUUAGGGCUUCGUGAAUAUGAACUAAAUCUAUUUUUUUUAUGGAAGAAAAAAGAUGUAUUAUCUAUAGAAAUAAAGGAUAAAGAGAAACGGGGAAAUUGAUUUCUAAUCCGUAUCUCUCUGAUUCUUUGUCUUACAAAGAAAAGACAAAGAAAAGAGCUUUUCUUAUGGAAAAGCGGAUUAUCGUUUAUUUUUAGGGAUAAAAAAUCGCAACAUACUAGUUAUGCCACUCUCACUAUACCCGCAUAGGAUAUGCGGGUAUGUAGUAUAUGAUUCGUCUAUUUCUUAGAGCACGACAGACGGAUCGAAUCUUCUAUUUAAGAAUAGGCAUGCCAUACACCCCGCAGGGAUUGUAGUUCAAUUGGUCAGAGCACCGCCCUGUCAAGGCGGAAGCUGCGGGUUCGAGCCCCGUCAGUCCCGAACUAGGGUUCAAUGAAUGGACAAAUUCAUCUUUUCUUUUUUCAUGGAAAUUUUUGAUGAAAAAAGGGGGGGGGGGGACAGGAGGCAAGAUCAAAUAUCUAUGGGGCACCCUUACUUCACUUUUAUUUUUUUGCAUUUCUCAGUAAAAAGAGAGCAGUGCAGUAUAGAAUUUUUUUUGCACUACUUCCGGUUGAUAAGGAAAGGCAUACAUAUCAUACGUGGAUUAGUAUAAUUUAGGAUACUACUCCAUUUUUAUGAUGAUACCACCCUCAUCUUAACUUCCUAUUCGACUCUUAUGAAAUCGAGUACCGGUAUUUUACCGGAAUCCAUACAUAAACCGUAUUCGUUUAUUGUUAGAGAAUGAAUUUCAUCUAAUUAGUUACUUUUUGGGGGUUAAACCGCACCCCUUCCAUUUUCUAGUUCCAACUUUGUUUGUGUAUAUAAUUGGAAAGAAUCCACCUCAUUCUCACUCCAUUUGCCGACUCCUUUUUUUAUGGAUUUGCUCUCAUCUUUAGACCCCAAAAAGCGUAUAUGGAUAGUAACCUAAUAAAAUAAAAACCAAGCAAACGCUCUUUUUCCUAAAUUUAAAUAUGGGAUCCUUUUUAUUUAAGAUCCUCUUUUCUCCAUCUCAUUUCUACUUCUACUGCUUAUUGGGAUGUCUAUGUGACCCAUAGAAAGUUGGUCAUAUAAUACAUACAUAAUUGUAUGUAUAACUAUAAGAAAAAGGAAGUGAAAUUGGAUAAGAUAAGAAAGAUUUUGGGUUAUACAUAUAGAAAAGCAAAAGUAGAAAAGAAUGAAAAAAGAAUAGAGGGGGUUUCGAAUCCAAUCAAAAAACCUAUUUUGGUCUUAGUAUGGAUAAGAGAUCUUCCUAUGUUAUAUUAUUCCACUAUCCACCAUGAAUUGAUUUGAUAGAUGCAAUAUUCAUAAUAUUGAAUUGAUUCAGUAUUAUCAGAAUGCAAGUCCUCCCCUUGAAUUUACAGGAUACCCCUUUUUCCUCUCCAUGGGAUUACAUCCCGAGUUAUUGUGAAAAAAAUAAAUAAAUAAAGAGGUUAUGGAAGUAAAUAUUCUCGCAUUUAUUGCUACAGCAUUGUUCAUUCUAGUUCCUACUGCCUUUUUACUUAUUAUUUAUGUAAAAACAGCCAGUCAAAAUGAUUAAUUGGAAUUCCAAUUAAUCAUUGAAGAAAUGAAAAAGGGAUUAAAGAAAAUAAAAAAUCCAAGUCUUAAAUGAAAGGGUCUGGUUGGAAUCAUAAAGUUUGGUAGAAAGAACUACAUAUAGUUUUUUCUACCACACUUUAGAUUCUUUCUAUUAUAUUAUCUUGAAUCUACAUAGAAUCGAUUAGUAGAUUGAAAUAGUAGUCUAAUUCAACUUCUUUUUUCACUGCAUCCACUUAAUUUCAAUCAAGUCAAAAUCAAAAAAAUCGAAGAUAAUUCUUCAUUGAAAGAAUCCAAGGAGGGGGAGAAAAAUAAUACGAGAAUAGACUAGAAUAGAUUAUAGUAAAAGAAAAAAAGUAAAAGGAAAAAACCUACGAAUCUUUCAUGCUUAAAAAAGGUGCGAGAUGCUUCAAUCGAGAUCCUUCAAAAAAAAAAAAAA
This 15327-nucleotide long non-coding RNA is filed under the name Zea mays. RNAcentral describes it as "long non-coding RNA (ZMAY_LNC005856)". The stretch from base 9119 to 9189 matches the Rfam family "tRNA". Lineage: Eukaryota; Viridiplantae; Streptophyta; Magnoliopsida; Poales; Poaceae. The record is from RNAcentral.